GCCUCCAUAACUCAGCCUGGUAGAGUGCGUGCAUGGUAAGCACGAAGCCGUGGGUUCGAAUCCCAUUGGAGGCU
RNAcentral lists this transfer RNA (74 nucleotides) under Candidatus Micrarchaeota archaeon CG1_02_60_51. Its description in RNAcentral is "tRNA-Thr". It matches the Rfam family "tRNA". Rfam says of the family: Transfer RNA (tRNA) molecules are approximately 80 nucleotides in length. Their secondary structure includes four short double-helical elements and three loops (D, anti-codon, and T loops). Lineage: Archaea; Nanobdellati; Microcaldota. The record is from RNAcentral. RNAcentral also lists the same sequence under 4 other names.